AUGGUCACGGCUAACCGCUUUUGGUCCCAAAUCUUUGGUGUUGCUUUUUCCAAUAAACGCUGGUUACAUUUCUUUAUGCUAUUUGUACCCGUCACCGGUUUAUGGAUGAGUGCUAUUGGCAUAGUUGGCUUGGCUCUGAACUUACGUUCCUAUGACUUUGUUUCCAGGAAAAACGCUCUCAACAACUCAUGA
RNAcentral lists this ribosomal RNA (192 nucleotides) under Triticum aestivum (bread wheat). RNAcentral's name for it is "partial small subunit ribosomal RNA". The record is from RNAcentral. Lineage: Eukaryota; Viridiplantae; Streptophyta; Magnoliopsida; Poales; Poaceae.